UGGGGAAUUUUGGACAAUGGGCGAAAGCCUGAUCCAGCAAUGCCGCGUGUGUGAAGAAGGCCUUCGGGUUGUAAAGCACUUUUGUCCGGAAAGAAAUGGCUCUGGUUAAUACCUGGGGUCGAUGACGGUACCGGAAGAAUAAGGACCGGCUAACUACGUGCCAGCAGCCGCGGUAAUACGUAGGGUCCAAGCGUUAAUCGGAAUUACUGGGCGUAAAGCGUGCGCAGGCGGUUGUGCAAGACCGAUGUGAAAUCCCCGAGCUUAACUUGGGAAUUGCAUUGGUGACUGCACGGCUAGAGUGUGUCAGAGGGGGGUAGAAUUCCACGUGUAGCAGUGAAAUGCGUAGAGAUGUGGAGGAAUACCGAUGGCGAAGGCAGCCCCCUGGGAUAACACUGACGCUCAUGCACGAAAGCGUGGGGAGCAAACAGGAUUAGAUACCCUGGUAGUCCACGCCCUAAACGAUGUCAACUAGUUGUUGGGGAUUCAUUUCCUUAGUACGUAGCUAACGCGUGAAGUUGACCGCCUGGGGAGUACGGUCGCAA
RNAcentral lists this ribosomal RNA (542 nucleotides) under uncultured bacterium. Its description in RNAcentral is "partial 16S ribosomal RNA". It matches the Rfam family "Bacterial small subunit ribosomal RNA", at positions 355 to 891 of the family's 1533-position model. The record is from RNAcentral.